GCAAGUCGAACGAGCCCUUUCGGGGGUUAGUGGCGGACGGGUGAGUAACGCGUGAGGAUCUGCCUACAGGAUGGGGACAACAACGGGAAUCUGUUGCUAAAACCCAAUGUGCCGAGAGGUGAAAUAUUUUAUAGCCUGUAGAUGAGCUCGCGUCUGAUUAGCUAGUUGGUGGUGUAAGGGACUACCAAGGCGACGAUCAGUAGCUGGUCUGAGAGGACGAUC
RNAcentral lists this ribosomal RNA (222 nucleotides) under uncultured bacterium. RNAcentral's name for it is "partial 16S ribosomal RNA". It matches the Rfam family "Bacterial small subunit ribosomal RNA", at positions 57 to 305 of the family's 1533-position model. The record is from RNAcentral.